RNAcentral lists this ribosomal RNA (232 nucleotides) under Pneumocystis sp. 2 PD-2016. Its description in RNAcentral is "partial large subunit ribosomal RNA". It matches the Rfam family "Bacterial large subunit ribosomal RNA", at positions 850 to 1065 of the family's 2925-position model. Lineage: Eukaryota; Fungi; Ascomycota; Pneumocystomycetes; Pneumocystales; Pneumocystaceae. The record is from RNAcentral.
UGGUUUUCUGCGAAAUCUAUUUUGGUAGAUGAUUUAAUUAUUUUAUUAGAGGGUAUAGCACUGAAUAUCUAAUAAUAUAUUAGAAGGGAGUAUGAAAGUACUUACUUUGGAUAUUUAAUCUCAGAAUAUCUAAUAAGAUGAUUUGAGUUAUCAGACUUAUUGCGAUAAGGUGGUAAGUCGAAAGGGAAACAGCCCAGAAUAAUAUAUAAAGUUCCAAAAUUGUUAUUAAGUG